CCUUUGACGUUAGCGGCGGACGGGUGAGUAACACGUGGGUAACCUACCUAUAAGACUGGGAUAACUUCGGGAAACCGGAGCUAAUACCGGAUAAUAUUUCGAACCGCAUGGUUCGAUAGUGAAAGAUGGUUUUGCUAUCACUUAUAGAUGGACCCGCGCCGUAUUAGCUAGUUGGUAAGGUAACGGCUUACCAAGGCGACGAUACGUAGCCGACCUGAGAGGGUGAUCGGCCACACUGGAACUGAGACACGGUCCAGACUCCUACGGGAGGCAGCAGC
RNAcentral lists this ribosomal RNA (278 nucleotides) under uncultured Staphylococcus sp. Its description in RNAcentral is "partial 16S ribosomal RNA". It matches the Rfam family "Bacterial small subunit ribosomal RNA", at positions 83 to 355 of the family's 1533-position model. Lineage: Bacteria; Bacillati; Bacillota; Bacilli; Caryophanales; Staphylococcaceae. The record is from RNAcentral.